Molecule: long non-coding RNA, 687 nt
Organism: Camelus dromedarius (Arabian camel)
Lineage: Eukaryota; Metazoa; Chordata; Mammalia; Artiodactyla; Camelidae
Exons: 2
Source: RefSeq, a predicted model, not a curated record
UGUGGGCACUCAACUCCUUCACUGUGGAUAGGGGGACCGAAGGGAGGGCGGGCCCAGGCCUGAGCACCCAUUUUGGAGGUUGGGGAGCUCGGCCCUGCAGGCUGUGUGCUCAGGAGUGCGGGAGUGAAGGGCGCAACCGUGGGAGGGGGAAGGAGGCCCGAGGGGGGUCCCUUGGAUUCGGGGGCGCGAAGAGGAAGGCGGCGGGAAGGACUCGGUCGAGCGAGGUUUAUCAGUGCGAGGGGCCGCGCUCGCUCCGAUGGGCAGCGGAGAUCCUGCAGCGGGAGUUGGCGCUGCCUUCGCUCCUCGCCUUGGUGAGGGCUCCUGGAGGGGCCGGGACCUGUCCCCACCCAGACCUCUGCACCUGGCGGAUGCCUCGCUUCCCGAGUGUCUUCAGGACGUUCCCGGGACGCCCCCCGACCCCGCUGCCUCCGCGCCGCUGUAACACUACACUCCGGGGGGGCCUUCCGGUGCGCCACAGCCCCAACCCCCUUAGGACCACCUUAGGACGCCUGCAUUAUUCUUUCCACUGUCGGCGGCGGCCGAAUUUGUGUCUUUCUGGCUUUCUGCUCCAGUGGACAACAGCCAUUGCUUUCUGAUCCUGGGUUUUACCAGCAACCCAAAUAGUGAUCCCCUUGUUUUCAUUUCUCUCCCUUUCUCCGCAAUAAAGGUUCAUGCAAAUAGCCUCCA